RNAcentral lists this ribosomal RNA (493 nucleotides) under uncultured bacterium. Its description in RNAcentral is "partial 16S ribosomal RNA". It matches the Rfam family "Bacterial small subunit ribosomal RNA", at positions 30 to 523 of the family's 1533-position model. The record is from RNAcentral.
AUUGAACGCUGGCGGCAUGCUUUACACAUGCAAGUCGAACGGUAACAGGUUAAGCUGACGAGUGGCGAACGGGUGAGUAAUGCAUCGGAACGUGCCCGGUCGUGGGGGAUAACGCAGCGAAAGCUGCGCUAAUACCGCAUACGAUCUGAGGAUGAGAGCGGGGGACCGUAAGGCCUCGCGCGAUCGGAGCGGCCGAUGUCAGAUUAGGUAGUUGGUGGGGUAAAGGCUCACCAAGCCAACGAUCUGUAGCUGGUCUGAGAGGACGACCAGCCACACUGGGACUGAGACACGGCCCAGACUCCUACGGGAGGCAGCAGUGGGGAAUUUUGGACAAUGGGCGAAAGCCUGAUCCAGCAAUGCCGCGUGCAGGAAGAAGGCCUUCGGGUUGUAAACUGCUUUUGUACGGAGCGAAAAGGUCUCCUCUAAUACAGGGGGCUCAUGACGGUACCGUAAGAAUAAGCACCGGCUAAUUACGUGCCAGCAGCCGCAGUAA